UUUCAUACCCUGAGAAAGAGAGAGGAGGUAGGCAGAGAAAAACAGAGAGGAAGUUAACAAACAGAUACCACACAGAACAACAAGGCGGCAAAGGAAGAAGAGUGACCACACCACAAAGACAGCAUGAAGACAAGAUCCAGGUGAAGAAGAAGUGGGAGUGUACUGUACCAGGUGAAGAAGAAGUGGGAGUGUACUGUACCAGGUGAAGAAGAAGUGGGAGUGUACUGUACCAGGUGAAGAAGAAGUGGGAGUGUACUGUACCAGGUGAAGACGUAGUGGGAGUGUACUGUACCAGGUGAAGAAGUAGUGGGAGUGUACUGUACCAGGUGAAGACGUAGUGGGAGUGUACUGUACCAGGUGAAGACGUAGUGGGAGUGUACUGUACCAGGUGAAGAAGUAGUGGGAGUGUACUGUACCAGGUGAAGAAGAAGUGGGAGUGUACUGUACCAGGUGAAGAAGAAGUGGGAGUGUACUGUACCAGGUGAAGAAGAAGUGGGAGUGUACUGUACCAGGUGAA
Molecule: long non-coding RNA, 517 nt
Organism: Oncorhynchus masou masou (cherry salmon)
Lineage: Eukaryota; Metazoa; Chordata; Actinopteri; Salmoniformes; Salmonidae
Exons: 2
Source: RefSeq, a predicted model, not a curated record